This is a long non-coding RNA of Leopardus geoffroyi (Geoffroy's cat), 715 nucleotides long. RefSeq lists it as uncharacterized. The record is from RefSeq and is a predicted model, not a curated record. The transcript has 2 exons. NCBI's taxonomy places the organism in Eukaryota, Metazoa, Chordata, Mammalia, Carnivora, Felidae.
CUGCCAGGAACCGCCCAGAUGUUAAUGAGAAAUCGCGGGAGAACUGCUGAGUAACGGCCCUGGCAAAACCCCGACCCUGACAUGACACAGCACAUCCGAGAGGCGACGCGGUCCUUCGGGGUCAAGGGACGCGCAGGGACAAUGCACACAGGACAGAACGGGGAAGCCCCGACGCCGGGCGCGCUCCUAACACGCGCGCCCGCCGCGGCCGGGAUGCCCUCACCCCGCAGGCCGAUCUGCCCUGACCGCACGGUGAAGCGCCUGGCAAACCCACCCACCGGCCUCAAUUUCCGACGGUGCAGCCGACGGUUCUCGGCAGGACAAGGCAGGAACCCGGUCCUCGCCGUGGAGCAAAAGACCCACCUCGGCUAGGCACUGCAUUAGUAACGAUAUAGCCUGAACCAGACUACGAGCAGAAAAGGACCCGGUCUACACCCGCUAGGCCCUAGGUAGGUAGAGCAGGCUCUUGGAUCCAGGCGCCCCUGAGCCCUGGGGUCCUCGGCGGCAGAAGGACAGCCCGGACGGGCCCUCCGGGGAGCAGAGGGCAGCUGUGAGGAGUGUGUCACUUCUCCCAGCUGGGGCCCCUGUUAACUGGCACAUGAUUUGACUGGGGAUCUCAAGAGCGUGUUCAGAGAAAGGAGGCCCCUACUGCCGCAGCAGCUCAGGAUUUAGCAGCAGCAGUUUUCUGUGAACAGACCGUGUUGAUCCCGAACAG